Molecule: non-coding RNA, 249 nt
Organism: Chiloscyllium plagiosum (whitespotted bambooshark)
Lineage: Eukaryota; Metazoa; Chordata; Chondrichthyes; Orectolobiformes; Hemiscylliidae
Source: RefSeq, a predicted model, not a curated record
GACAGGACUGUUAUCUCAUCCUUCAGUUUCUUGGUCUCCUUUUCAAGCUCCUGACUUUUAAGGUUUGGGAUCGCGUUCGAGGAUUGGAUAUCAACUCUAAGAAGGAAGCGGUCAAUUUAGACGGUGUUCCCAGUGAUCCUACCUGACUACGCCAAGUUGUGGGAUCGUGUUCAAAUACCGACCAGAAUCGUUUGUUCAAACUGGGUGGGGCUUCAUCUGAACUGGAACGGAUACAGCAGCCAUGCAGGG